RNA transcript from Eriocheir sinensis (Chinese mitten crab), 1050 nucleotides. RefSeq lists it as uncharacterized. The transcript is spliced from 3 exons. NCBI's taxonomy places the organism in Eukaryota, Metazoa, Arthropoda, Malacostraca, Decapoda, Varunidae. The record is from RefSeq and is a predicted model, not a curated record.
CUCCGGCGGCCUCUUCAGCGAUGGUGGCAACGGUCUGGCUGCUCCGGUGUCUGAAGGUUAUGGUGGUGGUGGUGCCCGUAUUUGCGGCGCAAGGGGACGGUGCGGCGGCUGCGGGCGUGGCGGGUCUUGUGCGGGCCAUCACGAAGGAGGUCCUCAGCGACUGUCACCUGGCUGUCGUGGGCUACGGGCAGACGGUCAUACAAGGCAUCCUCAGGUAGGUAAUGCAUAGGUUCAAGGCCUAGUGAGACGGAGACGAGCACCGAGGUCACGUGCAGCUUAGUGUAUGCCCCAAGAUGGUCUCAUACAAACAACGUAAUAUUCUCUGUUAUACUAAUCCAUAUUCUUAAACAUUUCGAGGCCUACACACCCACAAUUGAUAAGGCUUUCGUAGAAGUUCUCGUGUUAGUAUUUCCAUGGGUAGUUAUAUGCGCCAGGUGAUAGUUUGAUAAGGCUUCUUCUGCAGGGGUCUGGACAGCGGCGCGACCCCCGUUCUGCCGCGCACCGUAGUUGACGUGGCGGAGAAGUGGCAGGGGCGUCACGGUCUGCUGAGGGGCGUGGUGCGGGGGGACGUGCGGGACGCUUGCAGGCUGUUGGUGGCGCAGGGAGCGGGCAGCGGCAAGGAGGAGGUGUUUCAAUUUCUAGAGGAGGCGCGACUUUACGAAUGGGAGAAAACAUACGUAGUGCUUGUGGGCGAGGAAGAAGAAGAGGAACAGGAGAACGAGGCACCGGGAAAGGCAGAAGGAGGCAAGGAGACGAUGGGACAAGAAUCGGCGCUGCUCCACCAAGCCUUCAAGAACACGCACUUCAUCCUCUACCUCGUCCCUCGCCACGCAUCGCCUACACACCUCCCCGACCCGCCAGGCCUCGCUACUACGAAGGGUACACGAACAGGAGCGGAACGUGGCGUCAAGGUAUACACGCGUUGCAUCUACUGCGCCGCCGGUGGAGCGUCUCUUCGUCUUCUGUAUACAUGGAAACCGUCGCAAACUGAUCAGCUCUCCACUUCCUUCUUUCCUGGUAAGUGUAAGCGAGGGUGCAAAGAUGGGUGCC